CACCUGAAGACCGUGUCUUCCCGUCUCUGCCCACUUGACCCUCUGAUGCAAGCAAGAUGCCCAGAGAGAACUGAAAUGUGUGGUGCAGCGUAGAGCCACACUCAGGUGAAAUGAGCUGAGCCCUCGCAGGUUCAGCCCACAACCUUCGGAACCCUUCGCACUUUCUGUACUUCCUAUUGGCAGCGGAAAGGCUGCUUUCUCAGAUGACCUCUGAAGGUUCACGUUAACAACGGAGCACCGGUGGGUGCAUGAAGUCACUGUAUUUGGAUUUCUGUUAUGAAUGCACUCAAGUGCUGUGAACGGCAGGGAAGAAGUUGGAACAGAAGGACCUAUGUCUCCUGCUGCAGGCUGUGGCUCUCUGUGUGGAGAGCGUCCCCGCCGGCUCCCUUCUGUGUGCGUGCUGUGCUUCACGCGUGUUCCUCCUGCUGUAAGGUGCAUGCACAGAUCCAUAUGCACAUAUCCUUGUGAUUCAAAGGAAAAAGAAAUUAGUCCUAAAAGUCCGGGGCUGAAAGUAAGAGAGUAAGGCCUGGAGAGUCACUGCUCAGAACUUGAAUGAAUUACCAGUUUUCACCAAGUAACUGGCUGGCCUUCUCAGGCAGGCUCCAAAUUCCUGUGGAAAUGAAGACUUUCUUUCCUGGACUGGGCCUGGCAUUCCUGGGAAACAAUGGCCCUUUUCAAAUAGGCUCUGAAAUUUCGCAGGUGAAGGGAGAGGGGCAGUCAUUUGAUCCCACCCACAAGAAGCUGCUUAGUAUUUUAAAAAAUAAAGGCCAAGCCUAUCAUGGAAAUGGCAGGCAAAGCCGGAGAGGCUGAGAGCUGCAAUCUCACCCACAGCCUGCAGAGCCCUGUGAAACAGGAAUCGCUUUCUACGUCUGGCCUUGGCUAACACCACCGCUCUUUUUCUAGAUUUUAAGAGUCGAGGACAGGAACACUGACCUGGGUUUCACUUUGUAGAAUGUGUUACUGGAGAGGACUUAGGUUUUCU
Long non-coding RNA from Octodon degus (degu), 982 nucleotides. RefSeq lists it as uncharacterized. The record is from RefSeq and is a predicted model, not a curated record. NCBI's taxonomy places the organism in Eukaryota, Metazoa, Chordata, Mammalia, Rodentia, Octodontidae. The transcript is spliced from 3 exons.